AGCAGCCGCGGUAAUUCCAGCUCCAAUAGCGUAUAUUAAAGUUGUUGCAGUUAAAAGCUCGUAGUUGAAUUUCGGGAUCAAUUAAUCGGUCGUGCCUCUGGUACGCACUGGUUUUAUUGGUUUCUCCCUUCUGACGAACCAGGAUGUCAUUAAUUUGGUGUCUUGGAGAAUCAGGACUGUUACUUUGAAAAAUUAGAGUGUUUAAAGCAGGCUAACGCUUGAAUACAUUAGCAUGGAAUAAUGAAAUAGGACGUUUGAUCCUAUUUUGUGGUUUCUAGGAUCGACGUAAUGAUUAAUAGGGAUAGGUUGGGGGNA
Molecule: unclassified non-coding RNA, 315 nt
Filed under: uncultured Archaeospora
Lineage: Eukaryota; Fungi; Glomeromycota; Glomeromycetes; Archaeosporales; Archaeosporaceae
Description: SSU rRNA
Rfam family: Eukaryotic small subunit ribosomal RNA
Source: RNAcentral